UACGGGAGGCAGCAGUGGGGAAUAUUGGACAAUGGGCGAAAGCCUGAUCCAGCCAUGCCGCAUGAGUGAAGAAGGCCUUCGGGUUGUAAAGCUCUUUUAGUGAGAAAGAUAAUGACGGUACUCACAGAAGAAGUCCUGGCUAACUCCGUGCCAGCAGCCGCGGUAAUACGGAGAGGGCUAGCGUUAUUCGGAAUUAUUGGGCGUAAAGAGCGCGUAGGCUGAUUAGUAAGUUAAAAGUGAAAUCCCAAAGCUUAACUUUGGAAUUGCUUUUUAAAACUGCUAGUCUAGAGAUUGAAAGAGGGUAGAGGAAUUCCUAGUGUAGAGGUGAAAUUCGUAAAUAUUAGGAGGAACACCAGUGGCGAAGGCGUCUAUCUGGUUCAAAUCUGACGCUGAGGCGCGAAGGGCGUGGGGAGCAAACAGGGAUUAGAUACC
RNAcentral lists this ribosomal RNA (432 nucleotides) under uncultured bacterium. RNAcentral describes it as "bacterial SSU rRNA". It matches the Rfam family "Bacterial small subunit ribosomal RNA", at positions 340 to 786 of the family's 1533-position model. The record is from RNAcentral.